CAUUUGUUUUAUAUUUGAUAAUGUAUAGGAGAAUGUUUUAGAAUUGACUUGAUGGUUAGGUAAAUGUCAAGUCUGUUCUUGAAUCCCUGUCCUGUGCAACUUCGUUUUCAUGUUGAUGGUAAUGCCCAGGAGUGAUAAGGAUCUAUUUACAUACCUCUUUAGGGACUUUAGCUUUCAGGAAAUAGGAAAGCUGUUCCUGUAACACCUUAAAUACAUAAAUUGUGGUGAGCAGUUUAAAUUAUGUGAGUGGUUUAGCUUUUAAAAAUUCCUCGAAAAGCUUUGGUAUUGAACUUAGAUUCAAAUAAGACAUAUUGGUGGAGAGAAAAAGGGAGUAAAUGAGGUUGAAAAUCAUCAAGAUCUGCGGGUCAAAUCCACUUUAAUACAAGUUAUAUUAUCAAAAGAAAGGCAAGAUUUUAUUUUCUUUGAAGAUUAGUUAAAAGUUGUCUGUUUCUUUUUUCCCCUGCCCUCCUUUACCUUCUCUGAUCUUUUCCAAGUCACUUUCAUUUGAAAAGUCAUUUCUUUCUUGGAAUAAUCUACUGUGUAUAAGUUUUCAGCUAUGGAUUGAAACAUGGGCAUUUUUAUGAUACCAAAAUUAUUUCUUUUCUUCUCUCUUUUUUGCCUGCCUAUCACAAAUGCCUGGGAAGAUUGUCUCUUCCUUGACUAGAUCCCAAAGAAAGUUUUUUGUUUUGAAACCAAAAACAUUUUCCAUAGCAUAAUCUUUGAAUUUGUCUUCUUAACUUUUUCUUUUCUUUCUUUCUUUCUUUCUUUCUUCUUUCUUUCUUUCUUUCUUUCUUUCUUUCUUUCUUCUUUCCUUCGUUCUUUUUUUUUUCUUUGCUGUCAUUUCAGAGGGAUAAACAAAGGGACUAAGAUCUUUCACUGUUUCUUAUCAAGUGAAAGCAUCUUAAAUUCUAAUUUCAGUUUUCACAAUACUUUCCCGUUUUCUGAGUAGCCUGUGGAUUGCUCUUCUUUCUAUAGGUUUUCACUCCUAUAAUUUUAGGUUUUUCUUUCCCAUUUGAUAAUAGUCUAUCCUUAUUGUUUGUUUCAUCUCCUCCUCCUCAUUAUCUUAACCACUUCUUAUCAAGGCCUCUUUCUAGACAGGGUUUUAGGCCCUAUCAGUGUGGCUUGUACUAGACUUACAACGGCCUACAUGUUUUACAGAUAGGAAACUGAAGCUAAGGUAGAGGGUUAGGCCAGAUAAUGGCUCCCAAAGAUGUCCACACUAAUCUCCAGAACCUGGAAAUAUGUUUUACCUUAUAUGGCCAAAGGGACUUUGCAGCCAUAAGUACGAUUUAGACCUUGAGAGGGGGAGAUUGUUUGGGGGUUAUCUGGGUGGGUCCAAUCUAAUCACAUGACUCCUUAGAUGCAAAACCUUUCCUGCCUGGGUUACAGAGAAAUUUGACAAAGAGAAAAGUCACCGGCUUCAGAGUCAAAGAAGAGACUACGAGGAAAAAAUGCAGGCGAUCCUAGGAGCUGGGAAAGAGAAGGAAACAGUCUUCUCUAGAGCUUCCAGUAUGAACACAGCCUUGUCAACAAUUUAAUUUUAGCCUGGGUCUCGCCAGAGACCAGAGCUGCAAGCCUUCAUCUUUUGUCUUAAAUAUCUCGCACGGUGUACACUUCUUGAGAGAAUCCAGUUUAUAAAUGAUAGUAGAAAAAUACACAUAGUUGACGUGACCCUGCUGUAGUACUCCAUCAACAAUGAGUUUGAAAAGCAAGAGAUGAAAAUUGAAAAAUGCAAAACAAAGAUUUGUAAAUAUUGACGAAACAAAGGACACUUUAGGAAGGAUUCCAAGAACUCCCUGUACUUUCAAUACCUUCACUUUGGAGUUACCUUCAAAGAGGCUAAGAUUGUAGCUGAAAACGGUCCAGCUUCUCCCACACCUUGAGAGACUGCGUUGCUGUAAGGUAACCUUCAGGACAGAAAACAGCAGCGGGGGUGUGGGAUGGGGAAAGUGGUUGGAUGGCUGAAAGUAUUGUAACACAGUACUGAACUUCUUGUUUUGCACAAAUGUUUAUGGAAUAAAGUGUCUUCUUUUCCAC
Molecule: long non-coding RNA, 2037 nt
Organism: Felis catus (domestic cat)
Lineage: Eukaryota; Metazoa; Chordata; Mammalia; Carnivora; Felidae
Exons: 3
Source: RefSeq, a predicted model, not a curated record